This 755-nucleotide long non-coding RNA is filed under the name Homo sapiens (human). Its description in RNAcentral is "HSALNT0325893". Lineage: Eukaryota; Metazoa; Chordata; Mammalia; Primates; Hominidae. The record is from RNAcentral.
AUAUUUUCUGGGCCUGGCUGUUCAAGCUGCUGUUUGUGGGGGGCUCAGUAUAUGAUUAGAGUGGACAUUUCCUCUCUUGGAGAACUUUGAUGGAGUCCUCAGAGGUCGUCUAACUCUGGACCCUCUUCUCCUAUAGUUUUUCUUCCCCCCUUGGAAGAUGAAUUGCAUUUUAUCAGUUAUCUCAGAGAAGCACUUUGAAAUGAAGUCGCAUUGGUGUGCCCCAUGGAAUGAUUGAGACUGGCCGGGAGACAUCAAGAGGUAUUAAUGUGUAUUUUGCAAGGAAGGUGCAGGAGCUGGGGCCUUACCUGCAGUUGCUGAUGGAUUUCUUAGUGAGAAAAAUGGUGACUACACAGCAAGAACAGCAGCAAAAGGAAAGGCACCAAGUGUAAAGGAAGAAUAUUUGAAGCAGAACAGAAAUAAUUUCUGAGCAAGAAGGGCUAUGUGAUGAUGCUUCAUUCAGCUGGUGAUCCAUUACACCUGUUAAGAGGCCAAAGAGAACUGUAGAUCUCUGAGGUCCAUGGGGGCAGGGGCAAGGGAAUAAGAUGAAGGGAACACUAGAAUAAAUGAAGUGCCUUAACAGCUGAAAAGGCUGAUGGAUGUGCUUUGCACCUCAGAAGACGGAACUCCCAGCAGGAGAAUAAAGAGUGCAACAGAGCAGAGCCUGCUAGAACCACACAGUUAGGGAACUGAUCCUCUAAUAACCUCUCCUUUCAGAACUUUAUAAUGUGCUAUAAAAACCCCUUGUCUGUGGACUA